UUGACCUCGGAUCAGGCAGGGAUACCCGCUGAACUUAAGCAUAUCAAUAAGCGGAGGAAAAGAAACCAACAGGGAUUGCCUCAGUAACGGCGAGUGAAGCGGCAACAGCUCAAAUUUGAAAUCUGGCUCUUUUAGGGUCCGAGUUGUAAUUUGUAGAGGAUGCUUCGGCGUCGGCUCCGGUCUAAGUUCCUUGGAACAGGACGUCAUAGAGGGUGAGAAUCCCGUAUGUGAUCGGUUGCCUUGCCAUGUGAAGCUCCUUCGACGAGUCGAGUUGUUUGGGAUGCAGCUCUAAAUGGGAGGUAAAUUCUUCUAAG
This 314-nucleotide ribosomal RNA is filed under the name uncultured Cenococcum. RNAcentral's name for it is "eukaryotic LSU rRNA". It matches the Rfam family "Eukaryotic large subunit ribosomal RNA", at positions 1 to 314 of the family's 3401-position model. The record is from RNAcentral. Lineage: Eukaryota; Fungi; Ascomycota; Dothideomycetes; Gloniales; Gloniaceae.